GGGGGGGGGCUGUACGAGGUCUCUCUGUGGGGUGGAAGUUGGUGGGGGGCUGUACGAGGUCUCUCUGUGGGGUGGAAGGUGGUGGGGGGGGUCUGUACGAGGUCUCUCUGG
Amblyraja radiata (thorny skate) is the source of this 111-nucleotide long non-coding RNA. RefSeq lists it as uncharacterized. The transcript is spliced from 4 exons. The record is from RefSeq and is a predicted model, not a curated record. Lineage: Eukaryota; Metazoa; Chordata; Chondrichthyes; Rajiformes; Rajidae.